UGGAUGUUCUUAUCUGAGGGACGAGUUUACACUUUAUACACCACCAAAGCACGCAGGGCUGUGCAUGUAUGUAUGUUUGAAUGGCUCGCUGGAACAAUAGCAUUUGCAAAUGAUUUGAAAAUUCAACAAUAUUGGAUUCUACGUAUAAAAGACCUUCCUGGUGUGAUAAUGUUCAGUCAGACGGAGAUGAUCACAGAGAAGGAAAAAGGAACUAUUCUGGGGGAGGUCUGUCAGAUUUCAUCCUAGGAUUCACCGAUGAGCCCAUUCUAAUCAUUCUGUAGCAGUGCUGUGUUCUGUGGCUCAAAUCAAACAGCUUACAAAUCAGAUGAGCUUCACGAGUCUUUCAUUGGCUCAUUACUUCACAGUUCUCUCUGCACAUUUCUCUUGUCCUAUUUCUGUCUCUUUCCUUCCACUCUCGACCUCUGCCCCUCCCUUUCCCUUCUUCCCUUCCCUUCUUUUUCUCUCUCACCUUCUCUCCCCCUCUGCCCAGUCUUUUUAUCAUUCUCCUUGCAUUUCAUUUCUUUCUCCCUCUCACCAUUUCAGCAAGUUGGUUGAUCUCGUACUCUCUCUUGUACUCUCUGUAGAUCAUUAACUGAGACUAUUAUGAUGUUUAAUAUAAUGUCAUGGAAUGUAAAACUAAGAGUCAAACAGAAAAACUAACAGUCAUGGGUCGCAAACCUGAUAAGUAAGAUCAUGGAAGAUAAACAGCCUCAAUUUAUACACGUAUUCUUUCAAUAUACAUACAUGUAGUGAUCAACUCAUCCAUUAGAGAAAAUUCCAUUUUGUGGAAAUUAAGUGGACAAUAAAGUUUAUUCUGUUAUUUUCUGUUCUUUCCUCCUCUCUUUCUUUUUUCUCUAUUCCUCCCUCUCGUUCCUUUUCUCUCCUCCCCUGUCUUUCUCUCUCUGCCCCCCACUCCUUUCUUCUCCAUCUCUGGUUAAUGUCAGCAGGCUCUGGGCAGGUGCUCAAGAAAAUCAAGAUUUUCCUAGAAGUCCCUCUUCCUUCCAGCAGUUACAGUUUUACAGGAACAGAGCGGCUCUGUAUUCACACUCACAACACAGUGACCCACCAUGGACCCCUAUUCAUACUGCACAUGCCAAAAAACACACACACACACACACACACACGCAGGAAGAGCCACAGCCUGAGUAGUUGAGUAGCUUGAUUUUUUAUGAAGCUGAAAACUUUUCCUGUUUUUCCAAACAGGAAACAAGAAAUGCUGUGAAAUCAAAACUCAAGAAAUUGGCACAUCAGCAUGUGCCCCCCAGCAUGGGCCUAUUAUUCCAUUAUUAAUCUUAGGCUUAGACUUAUUAUUGUUGUUUUUCUGAACAUUCCUUGUUUAACUUAUUCUUAAUCAUUACUACUAUUACUAUUGUUAUUAUUGUCAUUUGUACAUGUUUAUUUCAUUUUUUUUUUACAUU
Molecule: long non-coding RNA, 1418 nt
Organism: Pygocentrus nattereri (red-bellied piranha)
Lineage: Eukaryota; Metazoa; Chordata; Actinopteri; Characiformes; Serrasalmidae
Exons: 3
Source: RefSeq, a predicted model, not a curated record